This 163-nucleotide ribosomal RNA is filed under the name uncultured bacterium. Its description in RNAcentral is "partial 16S ribosomal RNA". It matches the Rfam family "Bacterial small subunit ribosomal RNA", at positions 1338 to 1500 of the family's 1533-position model. The record is from RNAcentral.
GUAAUCGCAGAUCAGCAUGCUGCGGUGAAUACGUUCCCGGGCCUUGUACACACCGCCCGUCACACCAUGGGAGUCGGUAACACCCGAAGUCGGUAGCCUAACCGUAAGGAGGGCGCCGCCGAAGGUGGGAUUGAUGACUGGGGUGAAGUCGUAACAAGGUAAC